RNAcentral lists this transfer RNA (67 nucleotides) under Lepidostoma fui. RNAcentral's name for it is "tRNA-Asn". RNAcentral also lists the same sequence under 1 other name. The record is from RNAcentral. Lineage: Eukaryota; Metazoa; Arthropoda; Insecta; Trichoptera; Lepidostomatidae.
UUAAUUAAAACCAAAAAGAGGUAUAUUACUGUUAAUAAUAAAAUUGAUAAAUUUUUAUCUGAUUAAA